AGUGAACGCUGGCGGUAGGCCUAACACAUGCAAGUCGAACGGCAGCACACUAUGAGCUUGCUCUUACGGGUGGCGAGUGGCGGACGGGUUAAGCAUACAUCGGAAUCUACUUUUUCGUGGGGGAUAACGUAGGGAAACUUACGCUAAUACCGCAUACGACCUACGGGUGAAAGCAGGGGAUCUUCGGACCUUGCGCGUUUGCAUGCGCCGAGGUCGGAUUAGCUAGUUGGCGGGGUAAAGGCCCACCAAGGCGACGAUCCGUAGCUGGUCUGAGAGGGUGAGCAGCCACACUGGAACUGAGACACGGUCCAGACGCAUACGGGAGGCAGCAGUGGGGAAUAGUGGACAAGGGGCGCAAGACUGAUCCAGACAUACCGCGUGGGUGAAGAAGGCCUUCGGGUUGUAAAGCACUUUUGUUGGGAAAGAAAAGCAGCAGGUUAAUACCCCGCUGUUCUGACGGUACCCAAAGAAUAAGCACCGGCUAACUUCGUG
This 492-nucleotide ribosomal RNA is filed under the name uncultured bacterium. RNAcentral's name for it is "partial 16S ribosomal RNA". It matches the Rfam family "Bacterial small subunit ribosomal RNA", at positions 29 to 507 of the family's 1533-position model. The record is from RNAcentral.